RNAcentral lists this transfer RNA (73 nucleotides) under Ixodes scapularis (black-legged tick). It matches the Rfam family "tRNA". Rfam says of the family: Transfer RNA (tRNA) molecules are approximately 80 nucleotides in length. Their secondary structure includes four short double-helical elements and three loops (D, anti-codon, and T loops). Lineage: Eukaryota; Metazoa; Arthropoda; Arachnida; Ixodida; Ixodidae. The record is from Rfam by way of RNAcentral.
CCCUGGUUAGCUCAGUUGCUAUUGCGCUCCACUGGAAAUGAAGAAGCCCCUGGUUCAAUACCAGCACCAGGAG